AUUGAACGCUGGCGGCAGGCCUAACACAUGCAAGUCGAACGAGUUGCGGACGGGUGAGUAAUGUUUGGGAAUCUACCUUAUGGAGGGGGAUAACUACGGGAAACUGUAGCUAAUACCGCGUACCAUCAGAUGAACCCAUAUGGGAUUAGCUUGUAGGUGAGGUAACGGCUCACCUAGGCGACGAUCCCUAGCUGGUCUGAGAGGAUGAUCAGCCACACGGGGACUGAGAAACGGCCCAGACUCCUACGGGAGGCAGCAGUGGGGAAUAUUGCACAAUGGGCGCAAGCCUGAUGCAGCCAUGCCGCGUGUAUGAAGAAGGCCUUAGGGUUGUAAAGUACUUUCAGUCGGGAGGCGUUACCGACAGAAGAAGCACCGGCUAACUCCGUGCCAGCAGCCGCGGUAAUUC
This 406-nucleotide ribosomal RNA is filed under the name uncultured bacterium. RNAcentral describes it as "partial 16S ribosomal RNA". It matches the Rfam family "Bacterial small subunit ribosomal RNA", at positions 30 to 526 of the family's 1533-position model. The record is from RNAcentral.